Molecule: transfer RNA, 71 nt
Filed under: Loxodonta africana (African savanna elephant)
Lineage: Eukaryota; Metazoa; Chordata; Mammalia; Proboscidea; Elephantidae
Rfam family: tRNA
About the family: Transfer RNA (tRNA) molecules are approximately 80 nucleotides in length. Their secondary structure includes four short double-helical elements and three loops (D, anti-codon, and T loops).
Source: Rfam by way of RNAcentral
GCAGUGGUGGUUCAGUGGUAGAAUACUCAUCUUCCAAGCGGGAGACCUGGGUUUGAUUCCCAGCCAAUACA